GGACUACUGGGGUAUCUAAUCCUGUUUGCUACCCACGCUCUCGCGCCUCAGUGUCAGUAUCUGUCCAGGUAGCCGCCUUCGCCACUGGUGUUCCUUCCGAUCUCUACGCAUUUCACCGCUACACCGGAAAUUCCACUACCCUCUACAGUACUCCAGCUAUGCAGUCAUCGAUGCAGUUCCUAGGUUAAGCCCAGGGAUUUCACAUCCAUCUUACAUAACCACCUACGCGCCCUUUACGCCCAGUAAUUCCGAUUAACGCUCGCACCCUCUGUAUUACCGCGGCUGCUGGCAC
Molecule: ribosomal RNA, 292 nt
Filed under: uncultured bacterium
Lineage: Bacteria
Description: partial 16S ribosomal RNA
Source: RNAcentral